RNAcentral lists this ribosomal RNA (273 nucleotides) under uncultured bacterium. Its description in RNAcentral is "partial 16S ribosomal RNA". It matches the Rfam family "Bacterial small subunit ribosomal RNA", at positions 524 to 796 of the family's 1533-position model. The record is from RNAcentral.
GACGAACCGUGCGAACGUUGUUCGGAAUCACUGGGCUUAAAGGGCGCGUAGGCGGCAGAUCAAGUCCGGGGUGAAAGCCUCCAGCUCAACUGGAGAAGUGCCUUGGAUACUGAUUUGCUCGAGGGAGGUAGGGGUCGAGGGAACUUCCGGUGGAGCGGUGAAAUGCGUUGAUAUCAGAAGGAACGCCGGUGGCGAAAGCGCUCGACUGGAUCUCUUCUGACGCUGAGGCGCGAAAGCUAGGGGAGCAAACGGGAUUAGAUACCCCAGUAGUCC